RNAcentral lists this long non-coding RNA (236 nucleotides) under Capsicum annuum. RNAcentral describes it as "long non-coding RNA (CANN_LNC017340)". The record is from RNAcentral. Lineage: Eukaryota; Viridiplantae; Streptophyta; Magnoliopsida; Solanales; Solanaceae.
GACACCUGAUCAACAAGGAAUCAAAGAUUUUUAUCCUCAUACUAACGAUCACAAAUAUGUUCAUAUAGUGAUGACCAAGCCUCCACAUUUGCCAAAAACCUCCUAGGAUCUGAAAUAUCAAGUAAAACCGUCAAGUUAGCUAAGGACUGAAUGUCCCGUGCUGAAUGUCGAGCAUUAAGCUCCUGUCGGGUCAUAAGAUGCAGAAGGCUGCUUGAUCAGUGAAAAUCUCAUAAUGC